Molecule: long non-coding RNA, 497 nt
Filed under: Gallus gallus (chicken)
Lineage: Eukaryota; Metazoa; Chordata; Aves; Galliformes; Phasianidae
Source: RNAcentral
CUGGAAGCAUUUUGUCUUGAAUUUCUUGUGAUAAAUCAUCUAUUUUAUCCUUCAGCUGAUCGGACAUUGACUGUAUCUUAUCUGCAACACUUUCCACAUACUCUACAGCUACGUUGAUUUCAUUUAUAAGGUUGUUGGCUUCAUUAAGGAUGUCAUUCCCUUCCUGCAGACUCUUCUCAACACCUUGUCUGCCAUCUUCUACAGCUUGCUUCCUUAUCUCUACCAUGGUCAUGUUACUUUGGUUGACUGCAGAUAAACGAUUAGCCUCUCUAAUUUUAUCCAUAGCGUCUCUGAGCAGAUCUCGAGCAUCGUCAACUUUCGUGUGGUAGUUUGCUAGCUUGUCCCGGACUUCAUUUUUGAGAUCCUCAUUUUUCUCACUGGGCUCUCCAAAUAAUUUCUUCACUUUGUUCAAAAGAUCUUCUGCAUUCUUGAACUCAUCUUGAGCCAUUCUUUCUUGCAUAUUCAGCUUUUUACUUCUCAUCUCUGUGACCAUUCUG